GGGGAAUAUUGCACAAUGGGCGAAAGCCUGAUGCAGCAACGCCGCGUGAGUGAAGAAGGUUUUCGGAUUGUAAAGCUCUGUCAUCUGGGACGAUAAUGACGGUACCAGAUGAGGAAGCCACGGCUAACUACGUGCCAGCAGCCGCGGUAAUACGUAGGUGGCAAGCGUUGUCCGGAAUUACUGGGCGUAAAGGGUGCGCAGGCGGACAUUUAAGUGAGAUGUGAAAGACCCGGGCUUAACUUGGGCAGUGCAUCUCAAACUGGAUGUCUGGAGUGCAGGAGAGGAGAACGGAAUUCCUAGUGUAGCGGUGAAAUGCGUAGAGAUUAGGAAGAACACCAGUGGCGAAGGCGGUUCUCUGGACUGUAACUGACGCUGAGGCACGAAAGCGUGGGUAGCAAAC
This 400-nucleotide ribosomal RNA is filed under the name uncultured bacterium. Its description in RNAcentral is "bacterial SSU rRNA". It matches the Rfam family "Bacterial small subunit ribosomal RNA", at positions 356 to 773 of the family's 1533-position model. The record is from RNAcentral.